UAAAGCUAAAGACCUACUAAGCCGUCACACGCACCCCGAAGGCACGAAAUCCUAACACGAAAGUAGCUUUACCACCUCUCCAGCACCACGAAAGCUAAGAAACAAACUGGGAUUAGAUACCCCACUAUGCUUAGCCCUAAACCUAGAUGUUGAACUUACAAACGACAUCCGCCAGGGUACUACGAGCGCUAGCUUAAAACCCAAAGGACUUGACGGUGUCUCAGACCCACCUAGAGGAGCCUGUUCUAGAACCGAUAACCCCCGUUAAACCUCACCACCCCUUGCUUUUCCCGCCUAUAUACCGCCGUCGCAAGCUUACCCUAUGAAGGUCCUACAGUAAGCAAAAAGAGUACAACCCAAAACGUCAGGUCGAGGUGUAGCUUACGAGGUGGAAAGAAAUGGGCUACAUUUUCUUUAACAGAACAUUACGGACAACACUAUGAAACUAGUGUUUAAAGGUGGAUUUAGUAGUAAAAGACAAAUAGAGUGUGUUUUUGAACCAGGCUCUGAGACGCGCACACACCGCCCGUCACUC
Molecule: ribosomal RNA, 535 nt
Filed under: Megaleporinus reinhardti
Lineage: Eukaryota; Metazoa; Chordata; Actinopteri; Characiformes; Anostomidae
Description: partial small subunit ribosomal RNA
Rfam family: Bacterial small subunit ribosomal RNA
Source: RNAcentral